This 1511-nucleotide long non-coding RNA is filed under the name Strigops habroptila (Kakapo). RNAcentral's name for it is "lncRNA (ENSSHBG00005019473.1)". Lineage: Eukaryota; Metazoa; Chordata; Aves; Psittaciformes; Psittacidae. The record is from RNAcentral.
UUUCAUUCCUACUUUUCCCCUCUAUAUUCACUUUUUUUGUUGAAGUUUAUCCCUCAAUAAAUGACUGUUGCUGUCUCCUUUAAUUUCUAAUGGCCAAACCACACUCAAUUCUAACAGUGAAAGCAGACCAAACUCAACUAUUCAUACAGCUGAGCCAUAAAUAUGACAUUCAGAAGACAAAUCUCCAAGUAGGUUUUUUUUUCUCCUACAAAGGUUCUACAAUUCUAUGGAGAACUGCCAAAAAGUAGUUUCCUUUUCAUUAUCAAAUACCUUUGCAAGCAAGAAACAGAAUAGGUGCAAGCAUUCCUAGCACAUAUCUAAGCAGUAGAAGGUUGCAGCUUCUUUUUCCAUUCAUUCCCAUACAUACACCUUCUUUCUUGUUUUCCCUUUAGCAUUAGCAGCAACACUUCUUUUUUUAAGUCCACCUUCAUGCCUUUGGCUCCAUUUCAUAAUCUUGUUGAAAUUACAGCCUUAUAACCUUAUGGUCAUCACAGAACCAGGCCACCAAUUUACAACAUGCAAGGAUGCUGCUAUGCCAAAAAUGAGCUAUUGACUCCAGCGGAGGUUCCAUGCAGGUGCAGAUGGCUAUGUUUGGUGAAUUGAUGGACUACAACUAUGGCAAGAUGAGUCAUAGAACACUUACAAAAAGUAUAUUUAUCAUACACUGUAAUCUAAUACUACAGGCAUAUCCAGCAUUGAAGAUCAAAUCCAUCAGGGGGCAGGAGAAGCUGCUGGCUCGGCCACAUGAUACACAAAACCCAUGACCCUUGCAAAAGGCUUACAAGGGCAUACAGGUACUUUGGGACUGGCAAUGAGUAAUUCCUACUAGCCUUUGCAGGCUCAGGGGAAUUAAUUGUUGGUUUUGGUUUACAGCCACAAACUAUAUUUUUAACAACAAAGCACACUGUUUGCAAUAGACCUAUUUGUUUUUAAAAACACCAAACAAAUUUGGCAAGGUAAAUAAUUUUUGUGAUCUCAAACCGUGCACUGUUUUGUUACCCCCUGGUCCCCUCUCAGGCAGAUAUCUUGCACACCUUUCACAUAGCUUAUUGGUAGCCUUCUUGUUUUAGAGAAUGCAGUUCUAGAAAUUCAACUGCAAUCUACUUAGUUACUGGUUUGUGAACUAAUCAGUUCCAGUCCAUUGUAUAAGCACCUUAUAAAUCUACCCUAAACAGCAUCUUCAGCUACAUACAGAUACCUUAGAUUGGUUCUAUCUUUUUGAGUAGCAUGGAGGAAGUCAGACACUAUGAGUCUGGUCCCAGUUGGAAAAGUCAUUAAAAACCAUCAGUAACUGAACAAAGAAAUGAAGGUUACUGGCUAAAUUCUAAUUAUGCUUGAAUGCAGUAAUUACUGUAAUGCAUGGACAUAUGUAAUCUACAUAGAAUUGCAAAACACAGAAGACCAGAGGACAAGUUAUAAGCUGCUAUUUAAGGAAGCUUUUGCUUUCCAGCAAAGGGAAAAACAGAACCAGGUAAACAGACCAUUGUGGUUUUCUGGAAAGGUCAUGAAAA